RNAcentral lists this ribosomal RNA (1400 nucleotides) under uncultured bacterium. RNAcentral's name for it is "bacterial SSU rRNA". It matches the Rfam family "Bacterial small subunit ribosomal RNA". The record is from RNAcentral.
UUAGAGUUUGAUCCUGGCUCAGGAUGAACGCUAGCGGCAGGCUUAACACAUGCAAGUCGAGGGGCAGCGAGAUCAGUGCUUGCACUGAUUGUCGGCGACCGGCGCACGGGUGCGUAACGCGUAUGCAACCUACCCAUUACAGGGGGAUAACACUGAGAAAUCGGUACUAAUACCCCAUAACAUCCAGGGAGGCAUCUUCUUGGGUUGAAAACUCCGGUGGUAAUGGAUGGGCAUGCGUUGUAUUAGUUAGUUGGUGGGGUAACGGCUCACCAAGACAACGAUACAUAGGGGGACUGAGAGGUUAACCCCCCACAUUGGUACUGAGACACGGACCAAACUCCUACGGGAGGCAGCAGUGAGGAAUAUUGGUCAAUGGACGCAAGUCUGAACCAGCCAUGCCGCGUGCAGGAAGACGGCUCUAUGAGUUGUAAACUGCUUUUGUACGAGGGUAAACGCAGAUACGCGUAUCUGUCUGAAAGUAUCGUACGAAUAAGGAUCGGCUAACUCCGUGCUAGCAGCCGCGGUAAUACGGAGGAUUCAAGCGUUAUCCGGAUUUAUUGGGUUUAAAGGGUGCGUAGGCGGUCGGAUAAGUUAGAGGUGAAAUCCCGGGGCUCAACUUCGGAAUUGCCUCUGAUACUGUUCGGCUAGAGAGUAGUUGCGGUAGGCGGAAUGUAUGGUGUAGCGGUGAAAUGCUUAGAGAUCAUACAGAACACCGAUUGCGAAGGCAGCUUACCAAGCUACUUCUGACGUUGAGGCACGAAAGCGUGGGGAGCAAACAGGAUUAGAUACCCUGGUAGUCCACGCAGUAAACGAUGAUAACUCGUUGUCGGCGAUACAGUGUCGGUGACUAAGCGAAAGCGAUAAGUUAUCCACCUGGGGAGUACGUUCGCAAGAAUGAAACUCAAAGGAAUUGACGGGGGCCCGCACAAGCGGAGGAACAUGUGGUUUAAUUCGAUGAUACGCGAGGAACCUUACCCGGGCUUGAAAGUUAGUGACGGAUCUUGAAAGAGGUCUUCCCUUCGGGGCACGAAACUAGGUGCUGCAUGGUUGUCGUCAGCUCGUGCCGUGAGGUGUCGGGUUAAGUCCCAUAACGAGCGCAACCCCUACCGUUAGUUGCCAGCAGGUCAAGCUGGGCACUCUGACGGGACUGCCGGUGUAAGCCGAGAGGAAGGUGGGGAUGACGUCAAAUCAGCACGGCCCUUACGUCCGGGGCUACACACGUGUUACAAUGGCAGGUACAGAGGGCAGCUACCCAGCGAUGGGAUGCGAAUCUCGAAAGCCUGUCUCAGUUCGGAUUGGAGGCUGAAACCCGCCUCCAUGAAGUUGGAUUCGCUAGUAAUCGCGCAUCAGCCAUGGCGCGGUGAAUACGUUCCCGGGCCUUGUACACACCGCCCGUCAAG